GCAGUAGCCACGGGAAUACGAAGGGGGCUAGCGUUGCUCGGAAUUACUGGGCGUAAAGGGCGCGUAGGCGGACAGUUCAGUCGGGGGUGAAAGCCCGGGGCUCAACCUCGGAAUUGCCUUCGAUACUGGCUGUCUUGAGUAUGAGAGAGGUGUGUGGAACUCCGAGUGUAGAGGUGAAAUUCGUAGAUAUUCGGAAGAACACCAGUGGCGAAGGCGACACACUGGCUCAUUACUGACGCUGAGGCGCGAAAGCGUGGGGAGCAAACAGGAUUAGAUACCCCAGUAGUCCCUGUCUCUUAUAA
This 302-nucleotide ribosomal RNA is filed under the name uncultured bacterium. RNAcentral's name for it is "partial 16S ribosomal RNA". It matches the Rfam family "Bacterial small subunit ribosomal RNA", at positions 508 to 809 of the family's 1533-position model. The record is from RNAcentral.